This 497-nucleotide ribosomal RNA is filed under the name uncultured bacterium. RNAcentral describes it as "partial 16S ribosomal RNA". It matches the Rfam family "Bacterial small subunit ribosomal RNA", at positions 28 to 507 of the family's 1533-position model. The record is from RNAcentral.
GAUGAACGCUGGCGGCGUGCCUAAUACAUGCAAGUCGAGCGAACAGACGAGGAGCUUGCUCCUCUGACGUUAGCGGCGGACGGGUGAGUAACACGUGGAUAACCUACCUAUAAGACUGGGAUAACUUCGGGAAACCGGAGCUAAUACCGGAUAAUAUAUUGAACCGCAUGGUUCAAUAGUGAAAGACGGUUUUGUUGUCACUUAUAGAUGGAUCCGCGCCGCAUUAGCUAGUUGGUAAGGUAACGGCUUACCAAGGCAACGAUGCGUAGCCGACCUGAGAGGGUGAUCGGCCAUACUGGAACUGAGACACGGUCCAGACUCCUACGGGAGGCAGCAGUAGGGAAUCUUCCGCAAUGGGCGAAAGCUUGACGGAGCAACGCCGCGUGAGUGAUGAAGGUCUUCGGAUCGUAAAACUCUGUUAUUAGGGAAGAACAAAUGUGUAAGUAACUAUGCACGUCUUGACGGUACCUAAUCAGAAAGCCACGGCUAACUACGUG